Molecule: ribosomal RNA, 442 nt
Filed under: uncultured bacterium
Lineage: Bacteria
Description: partial 16S ribosomal RNA
Rfam family: Bacterial small subunit ribosomal RNA
Source: RNAcentral
CUACGGGCGGCAGCAGUGGGGAAUAUUGGGCAAUGGGCGAAAGCCUGACCCAGCAACGCCGCGUGAUUGAAGAAGGUCUUCGGAUUGUAAAGAUCUGUCCUUGGGGACGAAAAUAAUGACGGUACCCAAGGAGGAAGCCCCGGCUAACUACGUGCCAGCAGCCGCGGUAAUACGUAGGGGGCGAGCGUUGUCCGGAAUUACUGGGCGUAAAGGGUGCGCAGGCGGCGCUUUAAGUCAGAUGUGAAAUAUUCGGGCUCAACCCGAAGGGGACAUUUGAAACUGGAGUGCUUGAGUGCAGGAGAGGAAAGUGGAAUUCCUAGUGUAGCGGUGAAAUGCGUAGAUAUUAGGAGGAACACCAGUGGCGAAGGCGACUUUCUGGACUGUAACUGACGCUGAGGCACGAAAGCGUGGGGAGCAAACAGGAUUAGAUACCCGAGUAGUC